UACAGAGGGGGCAAGCGUUGUUCGGAAUUACUGGGCGUAAAGGGCGCGUAGGCGGCCUGCUAAGUCGAACGUGAAAUCCCUGGGCUCAACCCAGGAACUGCGUCCGAUACUGGUUGGCUUGAAUCCGGGAGAGGGAUGUGGAAUUCCAGGUGUAGCGGUGAAAUGCGUAGAUAUCUGGAGGAACACCGGUGGCGAAGGCGGCUCACUGGCCCGGUACUGACGCUGAGGUGCGAAAGCGUGGGGAGCAAACAGG
Molecule: ribosomal RNA, 253 nt
Filed under: uncultured bacterium
Lineage: Bacteria
Description: partial 16S ribosomal RNA
Rfam family: Bacterial small subunit ribosomal RNA
Source: RNAcentral